This 468-nucleotide ribosomal RNA is filed under the name uncultured bacterium. RNAcentral's name for it is "partial 16S ribosomal RNA". It matches the Rfam family "Bacterial small subunit ribosomal RNA", at positions 28 to 507 of the family's 1533-position model. The record is from RNAcentral.
GACGAACGCUGGCGGCGUGCUUAACACAUGCAAGUCGAACGGAAAGGCCCUGCUUUUGUGGGGUGCUCGAGUGGCGAACGGGUGAGUAACACGUGAGUAACCUGCCCUUGUCUUUGGGAUAACUCCAGGAAACUGGGGCUAAUACCGGAUAGGAGCUCCUGCUGCACGGUGGGGGUUGGAAAGUUUCGGCGGUUGGGGCUGGACUCGCGGCUUAUCAGCUUGUUGGUGGGGUAGUGGCUUACCAAGGUUUUGACGGGUAGCCGGCCUGAGAGGGUGACCGGCCACAAUGGGACUGAGGUACGGCGCAGACGCCUACGGGAGGCAGCGGGGGAGAAUAUUGCGCAAUGGGCGGAAGCGUGAGACAGCGGCGCCGCGUGCGUGAUGACGGCCUUCGGGUUGUAAACCGCUGUCGCCUGUGACGAAGCGAGAGUGACGGUAAUGGGUAAAGAAGCACCGGCUAACUACGUG